Labeo rohita (rohu) is the source of this 6713-nucleotide long non-coding RNA. RefSeq lists it as uncharacterized. Lineage: Eukaryota; Metazoa; Chordata; Actinopteri; Cypriniformes; Cyprinidae. The record is from RefSeq and is a predicted model, not a curated record. The transcript has 5 exons.
GAAUAAAUUAUUUUUUAAAGUAUAUUAAAAUAAAAACCAUUAUUUUAUAUUGUAAUAACAUUUUGCAAAUAUUACAGUCUUUUCUGUAUUUUUGAUCAAAUAAAUGCAGCCUUGAUGUGCAUAAAAGACUUCUUUAAAAAUCAUUACAAGUCUUACUGAUCCCAAACUUUUGAGCGAUAGUGUGCGUGUGUACAGUGUAUAGCAGUUAAAUUUACUCAUCAAUUCACACCAAGAAAUGAAAACUCAAUCAAAUCAAAUCAAAAUUUAUUUAGUAAAGAAAACUACAGCAAAAAUAUAGAAAUGUGUCUAGAAGCAGUUCAGCUGUUUCUUAAUGUCAUCAGAGGUAGAACAGAAAAAUACAGAUGAACAAUCAUCAUCAUCCAUCUGUGUGAUUGUUCAUUCCUGUUUACAUUUACAUAAAUGCAUUUAAGGGUUACACUUUAUCAGUUCAGUUAUUACGUGGAACAUGUUCAUGUUUCCAUCAUGUUUGUCCAAACACAGGCAGCACGAGAUGAAAUCAUGUUGGUUUUAUCACAGUAAAUGUCAGUUUAUUGCUUCAUCACAGUGAUGCGAACAUGAGCUGAAGUUUUAAUCAUUUCUCUGCUGAAUGUUCAUUUUCUCUGCAGGUGCUUCUACAAACGGACUGUUUAUUUAGAAAUAUACCAGUUGUUUGUUCAUUUUCUUGUUUCUCUGAUCGAGUUCUUUCAACGUAAACAUGUUUUCCAAUCUGGUUUUCAUUGAUAAAUUACAAUGUUUUUGUUGGGCUUCUCUCAAUACCCAGACUUGAGCUCUUGGUCAUUUCAGAGUGUGCACAACAGGAACCAAAGCAGGUUUCUUAACUCACAUUAAAAGCACACAAUCUCUGAUAGUGCCUCUGUGUCUGCCAAUAAUCAUUCAUGAACCCUAUGUGGCCCAAAUUCUGUGAGAUUUCAAGGAAAACGUUGCAUUGUUAGUCACAUGAAUUAGAUAUUGCAUACUAUUUGCUAGUAAAGCAAAGUUUGUAUAUUUUAUUGGUUUGUAACACGUUUGCAAUUGCUUUUUCUCUUAGAAGCACCACAAUCACUAAACUGUCAUCACAAGAAGCAGACAAAUGCACAGUAUUGAAAGUAAAUCUCUGUAAAAACUUGCAUUUUUGCAGUACUGUUUCGCAAAUGUGUCUCAUCAGGCAAUCAAAACUAUACGCACACUUACAGUCUUAAUGCACACUUGAGACAAAUACAGGAAAUAACUCAUGCAAGUGGUCAAGUGUGCAAAUUGGGACAAACUCAUCAUGUCUCUUCAUCCUGUCAGUCUUUAAUUAACAAAUGCCACUUCCUUAAAUGACAUCAUCUUCAGGAAGUGACAUCAUCUUGAUGGGACAUCAACUGCACAAACAUCAACAGCAGUCGUUCGUCUGAAAUCAGCGCUGGACUGAACGAGUGAUUGCUGCUGAAUCACAGGGUCUGAGAGACAGACGGAUGGAAAUGAGAUGAAGUGAUUCAUGCGUCUGGAGCUCCUGAAGCUGCUGAAUACUGAUGAUUCCAGCGUCUGCUUCUCAUCUCUCCUGCACAAAACACUCAGGAUUUUCUGUCUGAAAACUGAUUAAAAUGAAAUCAGCUGACGGUCGCAGACGGAUCCUGUGUGUCACGCUGAGCUGUUAAGAGAGACACAGACAGAAAAUAAGACGGAUUCAGUGAGAUCCUCCAGACGGAUCAGAGUACGAGAGAGACGCAACACACAAGAUCAUGUCAGUCUGUUGGACUGUGAUCAUCUUUUUGUCCAGAUGAAUCCUCAGAUCACACACGUGGAGGCACCUGCAGGACCCCGAUAUCAUCCUCAUCAUCCUCAUCAUCCUCAUCCUCCUUUGUGCAUCGUUCCUAUGGCAACGCGACACGGAUGGAAGCAGUGAAUGGAGCCGCAGCAGCGCUUUGCCCUCGUUCUGUCGCUUUUGCUGCUGAAUCCUGAUGCUUCAUUACAAUCUAUCUGGAAACACACACACGUCUCGCAUGAUGAAUGAGAGCCGGCUUAUGAAAUUAAGUAUGCCGUCACGGCAGCUGGUUUACAAACACACACACACAAACACGCAGCGCGUUCUGAAGCCCCUCCACAGGAAGCUCCUCUAGGGAAUGAAAUCAAUAGCUUUAUAUUCCUGCAAUCAAUGAAUCGCCCUGCGGGUCUGAAUAACAGAUGCAAACACACUCGACGGGAAUUAGUUAAAGGGCAGCGGUAUUCAGACAGCAGACACGCUUUAUAAUAAAUGUGAGAUUGACACAUGUCUGUGGUGGUGUUCCUACCAUUACGGGUUCAUUCCGUAGGUGUAACGGUUCUGUAUUUUCUAUGCCCUUAACAUAACCCUACACCUAAACCUGCCCCUCACACAAAACUACAGGCAUUUUUACAUUCGCAAAACACUUCAUUGUGUGUGAUUUUUAAGCUCGUUUCCUCAUGGGGACCAAAAAAAGUCUCCACAAGGUCAAUAUUUGGUUUUACUAUAACAUAGGGAAUAUUCACACUCACACACGGACUGAUGGCGUUGUGCAGAACAGCCUGAACAGGUUUUCCUUGUGUAAAGGUCACGCUGAACCUGAGAAGAAGAACGCUGUUACAGCGCUGUUCAUUAAACAUAAAGGUACUGACUGUUUUACUCUCAUCUUUCUGCAUUUGUCCAGCUGAAGAACAGCGAUGAUGCUUCUGCCAUUUCUCUGAAUGAUGUAAGAGUACUGUAACUCCAUCAUACUUCAGGGACGAUGUGAACGAGAGCCUCUUAAAAGACCUACAGACCAAUGUUUUCCAUUUAUCCUAAACAACAGGAACAGAGCUCUCGUCCUUCCUCCGGUUAGAUUUUCAUUCAGAGUGAGUGUUUGUCGAGGUGACAUGCUGUAGUUUCACAGGUUAUUAUUUCUGAGGUGUGUUAUUUCUGUCAGCAGCUCCGGUGGCAUAAUUUGCAUUUGGCAGACGCUUUAUCCAAAGUGACCUACACUGAAUUCAAGAUAUAGGUUUGAUCAAUUUACGCGGUCGCUGUGAAUCAAACCCGUGACUAUAAUGCUCUGUGUUUAAGUCUGGCUUGUUUCCUAGUCCAGCUUUCUAAUGAACCUGGCAGUGAUCACUCUGAAUACUGUUGGCUCUGUGACAGAUUGCUUAUGCUUGAUUAUUGUAUGUCGUUUUGGAUUGAAGCAUCUUCUAAAUGCAUGAAUUUAAAUGUUAUUUAAAAGCCAAAUUGGGGUUGCUAUUUCUAAAAGGAUCACCACAACACAUUUGGAUUGUUCUUAUAGACGCAGCGUGUUCAUCUCGGCUCAGUGCCGUGUCCUGCCAUGAAAAUUGCACUUUGAUUUGGCGCUCACGUGAAAAUUGGAUAAGAUGUAGCUCACAGCCCUGCGUCUAGUGUGGGUACAAAUAGAGAGCGAUCUGACUGUUCUUCAGGCCGUGUGUCAUGAAUCUUAAUCUCUGGAGGAUUUUCCCACAGACUCAUCAUCUGCCAUCCACUGUAGUCAGAGUACUGAAAACGACAGCUGAAAUUCUCAAUUGUUUUGUCAGACUGAAACCAUUUCGAUUUUAAGUUGUGCUUGGAAAAAAACAUUUAGUUCUGCCGGAGAAAGAUAACACUCAGGAAUAAAGAACAUCCUUUAUGUUGCCCGAGGAAAACACAUUGAUCUGCUCUGGACUCAUUGAGCUGAUUUAGUGAGUUUUUCCUGCAGCGUUUCAAUGGAGAUCUUCAGUGUUCUUCGGUGUUUGGGUCAGGCGUAAGCUCAUUAACUGACCUCAAUUAACAGGACUGCCAUUGAUACCCAAGAGCUCAUUUUUCCCUUCAAGUGUUUCUGGAAGAGCUCAUCUUUUCAAGUACGAGAGGCGUCUCUUGGCUGGAAGACGGGCCGUUUAUUGGAGGUCGUGUGUGAUGUUUGGCGUGAUGGCUGUGUGAAUCCGCUGGCAUUGAUUUUUCAUCACUCAAACUGUCUGACCUGCUGUUUUCUCUUUUUUUCAGCACACCUGUUGAAGAAAAACCUGUAGAUCUUUCCACUGGUUAUGAUGGAUAAAUGUUAAUUACAGUAGUUUAAUUAACUGAAAUUAAAGUGAACCAGUGAGACUCAUCAAACUAAAAUUAAGUGGCAUUUGGGGACAAACCUAAUUAUCCGUGUCAUGCGUUUGAUCUUUCAUUACAGGCGUUUUCCUGAAUCGCUCCAGAGACGAGAUCACAGAUGUACAGGCUUUUCAGUAAAGGUGUGGAAUAACUAACGAUCCGUCCCACAGCAGCUGGUUAUUAAGAACACGGCUGUAAAUCUACAGCACGUUUGCAGCAGAGUUCAUCAAAAUGUCAAGAAUGAAUCGACCUCUUUUUAUUUUAUAUGCAUGUCAUUUGUUGUCAUCUUUCUCUCUGCAGGUCGUUUCAGUGAAUAACACAGAGCUCAUCCACUCAUCUCAGUGCUCCUGCGUUGAGUUUCUAAAUAAAUUUAGCAUGUAAAAUUCUCUAACAUCAUUAGGGCGCCUGUCCUGCUGAGUUAUAAUUACUCUAAAUGAAGGCCAGAGAGGCCGAGCGUCACCUUCAGCAGCAGAAGCUCUUAGCGCCGCUGUUCAUUUGUUCAUUUUCCCUGUUCCCGCUGUAAUCAAUCAUCGCUGAGUGACGGCCGCUUGUCCGCGGCUUCCCGUUGAGCCGGAGAGACCCUCGGGAUGGAGGAAAAUAACAGAUCUCAAAUGAGAUCAAAGUGCCGCAGAUCAAUGGCUGAUCCCUGUCCUUUAAUAAGCUGAAUGAAAAGCUGCGCUGGUUAUAAAACACACUCAAAUGAAGUUGGAUUUAUUGCCUCGACAACAAGAUUGAAUUGUUUUUACAGUCCCCCCUGUGGUUUCAUCUUUAUGUAUUGGAGCUUUUUCACAGACGGCCCUGUUCUUCCAGCGAGAGCGAGGUUAUCUGUGUUUACAUCCAGACGUGUGCCGGAGCCGCGCCGGCGAUAAGAGACGCAGCACAUGUAGGUCAUUGCUGAGAACAGAGAUGUGCUGCCCUGCGCUUGAAGACGUGUGCCAAGAAACCAUUUCCAUUUUAGGACAGCGAUUCCUUCAGUGAGAGCCGAAGAUUUAGAGGCCAAACUCACAUUUAAUUGGGCCCUUGGGGACAAAGAUACAGCUGAAAUACCCUCGUGUCGAGCUAGGGAUCAAAUCAUUCAUCAAAACAUAUCAUGAGAAAUCGUUUAGAACAAAAAUUCUCUCCAUUAUCCAAAAAAAGCGUGAAAACUAAGUCUGUGCUCAGGUCCACAUCCACAGCAGGAAUACUGGGCUGCUGCUCAUUUUCAGACAUGUAGACGUCAGACGCUCAUGUUCCACAUACUGCUGCUAUAGACGCUUACAGCCACAGCAGUAGAAAAACCACCACUGUAAUUGUCAGGAUCAAAGGUGGAAAAUGCUUGUGAAAAAAUAAACCAUGACUGACAGGAAAAAUUACAUUAGAAAAUAGACCAGGAUUAUGAUAUGAGCCCGUGUUUGGAGUUCAGACAGGUCAGAAGGUGUAACUCUACUAGUCUGGAUGCUUGUUUAAAAUAGUUUAGUGAUAAGUGAUGCUUCUUAGAUGAUGGUGUUGAUGGGUGGAGAUUAGUUUUGUGAUGUUAAUGUGUGUAGUUGAUAGCGUUGAUGGGCAGAAUUUAGUUCAGUGAUGUUUGUGUGUGUAGUUGAUGGUGUUGAUGGCUGGUGUGUGUGUGUGUGUGUGUGUGUGUACUUGUUUUUGCUACAUUGUGGACCAAAUGUCCCCACAAGGAUAGUAAAACCUGAAAUUUUUGACAUUGUGGGGACUGGCUUGAGGUCCCCAUGGGUACAAAAGCUUAUAAAUCACACAGAAUGAGUUUUUUUGAGAAAGUAAAAAUGCAGAAAGUUUUCUGUAAGGGUUAGGUUUAGGGGUAGGGUUAGGGUAAGGGGAUAGAAAAUACAGUGUGGAGAGUAUAAAAACCAUUGCACCUAUGGAGAGUCCCCACAAAGAUAAUAAACCAGACUGUGUGUGUGUGUGUAGUUGAUUGUUUUUGAUGGGUGGAGUUUAGUUCUGUGAUGUUUGUGUGUGUAGUUGAUUGUGUUAUUAAUGGUGCUGAUGGGCAGAAAUUUAGUUCAGUGCUGUUUGGUGUGUAGUUAACUGAUGGUGUUGAUGGGUGGAGUUUAGUUCUGUGAUGUUUACAGUAUGUAUGUAGUUUGUGUUUUAUGAGUGGAGUGUAUUUCAGUGAUGUUUAUGUGUGUAGUUGAUGGUGAUGAUGGGCAGAGAUUAGUUCUGAGAUGUUUGUAUGUGCAGUUAGUUGAUGGGAGAUGUUUAGUUUAGUAUUGUUUGUGUGUGUAGUUAACUGAUGGUGUUGAUGGAUGGAGUUUAGUUCAGUGAUGUUUAUGUGUAAAGUUAACUAAUGGUGUUGAUGGGCAGAAAUUUAGUUCAAUGAUGUUUGGUGUGUAGUUAACUGAUGGUGUUGAUGGGUGGAGUUUAGUUCAGUGAUGUUUAUGUGUGUAUUUGACGGGCGGAAUUUAGUUAGGUGAUGUAUAUGUGUGCAGUUGAUGGUGUUGAUGGGCGAAGUUUAGUUCUGUGAUGUUUGUGUGUGUAGUUAGGUGAUGGUGUUGAUGGGUGGCGCUUAGUUCGGUGUUGUUUGUGUGUGUAGUUAGGUGAUAGGUGAAGUUUAGUUCAGUAUUGUUUGUGUGUGUAGUUAACUGAUGGUGUUGAUGGAUUGAGUUCAGUUCAGUGAUGUUUACAGUAUGUGUGUAGUUGGUUGUGUUUGAUGGGUGGA